CCUCAGAAGUCAAAGCUUUCCGGAGAUAGAGUGUUUUUAAACAUAUUUUCCCCACAUAUUCUAUUCUACAUACUAAGGAGAAAUUAAACAUAAAUUUAUUUUGCUUUUAAUUGCUGGUUUAGGAAAGUGAAAAAUCUAAUGUGUCUAAGAACCCAUUUUUCAUGAAACACUAUUUUGGGUCAGCAUUAAUGACAAGCUUCUCACUCAAUCUGCAUUUUGCACAAUAUUUUAUUCAGCUGUAGGUACCCAAUUUCAAUUUUGCUACAAGGAUUCUCUUCAUUUCUCACAUAACUAAUCACAUGGAAUUCUCUUUAAUUUUAUCUCAUAAUCGUACACAUUCAGUGCAAUAAGGGAUAAAUAGUAGACAAAGAAACUUGGGGCAUUCUGGACCCUCUGUCACUUCUGACUACACCAUGAUCCACUAACUGAGUGACCCAGUUCAGCCAGGGAGUAACACUUGCCAGAGUGGGUAGGGGUUUCAAAAUCUAGGCCAUACUUCUUUGCAAUUAUUUUUCUUUAUAAUUUUAUUUGAACUUUUUAGCUUCAGGAUUACUCCCCCAGAAGAAAAGCAACUGGUAUCUUUAUUAUAUAGUUCUAUGGCUUGUCAAUCAUAGGAUGUUUUCCAAUUUUGUUAUGUUUUGUUUGUAAUGGGACAAUGGCAGUGUUUUGUUUUAGGUAUACUAGAAGUUAUAAUCAAGAAAGAAAAUUGAGCUGAUCUAUCCAAUGGGGAUGAGAAGUUAUUUUCUUCCUAGUUUCUUAUUACUCUACUGCUUAAUUCCUGGCAGGAUUGCAUUAAUGUUAAGCACUGGUCCCCAGCACCAAGUGGCAAUUUAUCAUCUAUCUUGGCAGGCUUCCCUGCUUCAUCCUGCACCUGCCUCCUUGAAAGAAAACAAGACAUCAGAUACUUAUUCAAAUAAUGCAGUAGCUGAUCAGCAGAGUAUCUACACAAUGGUACCCAUCUCAGAACAGGAACCUGAAUUGAGGAAUCUCUAUGCCAGGUUUUCAUGAGGCUGAACCCAUACUGGAGAAUUGAGGCAGUCACUUUACUGCACAAUUGUGUAAGACUUGGGAUGGUACAGGUAAGCCAAGAAUUGUUUCCUUAAAGGCAUUCUUAACUUUUACAUAUUUUGUUUACAUUCUCAUUAAAGUGCACCAGCCUGAAUAUCUAAUAACAAGCAGUUCUGAUUCCCUUGAUAAACUCCUGAUUUAUCCCUGGGUUCUAGUCCCUUUUCUUAUCUGAUCUCUGCUCAUGCUUGCUGUUGGGUUUAUUCAUCUGAUCCCUCAGUUUGUC
RNAcentral lists this long non-coding RNA (1291 nucleotides) under Cyanistes caeruleus (blue tit). RNAcentral's name for it is "lncRNA (ENSCCEG00000011076.1)". The record is from RNAcentral. Lineage: Eukaryota; Metazoa; Chordata; Aves; Passeriformes; Paridae.